RNAcentral lists this ribosomal RNA (482 nucleotides) under uncultured bacterium. RNAcentral describes it as "partial 16S ribosomal RNA". It matches the Rfam family "Bacterial small subunit ribosomal RNA", at positions 30 to 507 of the family's 1533-position model. The record is from RNAcentral.
AUUGAACGCUGGCGGCAUGCUUUACACAUGCAAGUCGAACGGUAACAGGCCGCUCGGUGCUGCCGCGUGGCGCACGGGUGUGUAAUGCAUCUGAACGUGUCCCGUCUUGUGGGGUAACUACUCGAAAGAGUAGCUCAUAUCCCAUACGAUCUAUGCAUGAGAGCGGGGGACCGUACGGCCUCGCGCGCUUCGAGCUGCCGAUGUCAGAUUAGGUAGUUGGUGGGGUAAAGGCUCACCAAGCCAACGAUCUGUAGCUGGUCUGAGAGGACAAGCAGCCACACUGGGACUGAGACACGGCCCAGACUCCUACGGGAGGCAGCAGUGGGGAAUUUUGGACAAUGGGCGCAAGCCCGAUCCAGCAAUGCCGCGUGCAGGAAGAAGGCCUUCGGGUUGUAAACUGCUUUUGUACGGAACGAAACGGCUCUGGUUAAUACCCGGGGCUAAUGACGGUACCGGAAGAAUAAGCACCGGCUAACUACGUG